This 253-nucleotide ribosomal RNA is filed under the name uncultured bacterium. Its description in RNAcentral is "partial 16S ribosomal RNA". It matches the Rfam family "Bacterial small subunit ribosomal RNA", at positions 524 to 776 of the family's 1533-position model. The record is from RNAcentral.
UACGAAGGGGGCUAGCGUUGCUCGGAAUCACUGGGCGUAAAGGGCGCGUAGGCGGCCUGCUAAGUCGGACGUGAAAUCCCUCGGCUCAACCGAGGAACUGCGUCCGAUACUGGUGGGCUUGAAUCCGGGAGAGGGAUGUGGAAUUCCAGGUGUAGCGGUGAAAUGCGUAGAUAUCUGGAGGAACACCGGUGGCGAAGGCGGCAUCCUGGACCGGUAUUGACGCUGAGGCGCGAAAGCUAGGGGAGCAAACGGG